GUCGAACGGAAAGGCCCUUCGGGGUACUCGAGUGGCGAACGGGUGAGUAACACGUGGGUGAUCUGCCCUGCACUCUGGGAUAAGCCUGGGAAACUGGGUCUAAUACCGGAUAGGACCACACACUUCAUGGUGAGUGGUGCAAAGCUUUUGCGGUGUGGGAUGAGCCCGCGGCCUAUCAGCUUGUUGGUGGGGUAAUGGCCCACCAAGGCGACGACGGGUAGCCGGCCUGAGAGGGUGACCGGCCACACUGGGACUGAGAUACGGCCCAGACUCCUACGGGAGGCAGCAGUGGGGAAUAUUGCACAAUGGGCGCAAGCCUGAUGCAGCGACGCCGCGUGAGGGAUGACGGCCUUCGGGUUGUAAACCUCUUUCAGUAGGGACGAAGCGAAAGUGACGGUACCUACAGAAGAAGGACCG
This 417-nucleotide ribosomal RNA is filed under the name actinobacterium BAL133. RNAcentral describes it as "bacterial SSU rRNA". It matches the Rfam family "Bacterial small subunit ribosomal RNA", at positions 61 to 495 of the family's 1533-position model. Lineage: Bacteria; Bacillati; Actinomycetota; Actinomycetes. The record is from RNAcentral.